AUUGAACGCUGGCGGUAUGCUUAACACAUGCAAGUCGAACGGUAACAGGCCUUCGGGCGCUGACGAGUGGCGGACGGGUGAGUAACGCGUAGGAAUCUGCCUCAUAGUGGGGGACAACGUGGGGAAACUCACGCUAAUACCGCAUACGCCCUACGGGGAAAGCGGGGAUCUUCGGACCUCGCGCUAUGAGAUGAGCCUGCGUUAGAUUAGCUAGUUGGUAGGGUAAAGGCCUACCAAGGCGACGAUCUAUAGCUGGUCUGAGAGGACGAUCAGCCACACUGGGACUGAGACACGGCCCAGACUCCUACGGGAGGCAGCAGUGGAGAAUAUUGGACAAUGGGCGAAAGCCUGAUCCAGCAAUGCCGCGUGAGUGAUGAAGGCCUUAGGGUUGUAAAGCUCUUUUACCAGGGAUGAUAAUGACAGUACCUGGAGAAUAAGCUCCGGCUAACUCCGUGCCAGCAGCCGCGGUAAU
Molecule: ribosomal RNA, 472 nt
Filed under: uncultured bacterium
Lineage: Bacteria
Description: bacterial SSU rRNA
Rfam family: Bacterial small subunit ribosomal RNA
Source: RNAcentral